This 1206-nucleotide ribosomal RNA is filed under the name Corynebacterium diphtheriae. RNAcentral's name for it is "bacterial SSU rRNA". It matches the Rfam family "Bacterial small subunit ribosomal RNA", at positions 10 to 1197 of the family's 1533-position model. Lineage: Bacteria; Bacillati; Actinomycetota; Actinomycetes; Mycobacteriales; Corynebacteriaceae. The record is from RNAcentral.
AGUUUGAUCCUGGCUCAGGAUGAACGCUGGCGGCGUGCCUAAUACAUGCAAGUCGAGCGAACGGACGAGAAGCUUGCUUCUCUGAUGUUAGCGGCGGACGGGUGAGUAACACGUGGAUAACCUACCUAUAAGACUGGGAUAACUUCGGGAAACCGGAGCUAAUACCGGAUAAUAUUUUGAACCGCAUGGUUCAAAAGUGAAAGACGGUCUUGCUGUCACUUAUAGAUGGAUCCGCGCUGCAUUAGCUAGUUGGUAAGGUAACGGCUUACCAAGGCAACGAUGCAUAGCCGACCUGAGAGGGUGAUCGGCCACACUGGAACUGAGACACGGUCCAGACUCCUACGGGAGGCAGCAGUAGGGAAUCUUCCGCAAUGGGCGAAAGCCUGACGGAGCAACGCCGCGUGAGUGAUGAAGGUCUUCGGAUCGUAAAACUCUGUUAUUAGGGAAGAACAUAUGUGUAAGUAACUGUGCACAUCUUGACGGUACCUAAUCAGAAAGCCACGGCUAACUACGUGCCAGCAGCCGCGGUAAUACGUAGGUGGCAAGCGUUAUCCGGAAUUAUUGGGCGUAAAGCGCGCGUAGGCGGUUUUUUAAGUCUGAUGUGAAAGCCCACGGCUCAACCGUGGAGGGUCAUUGGAAACUGGAAAACUUGAGUGCAGAAGAGGAAAGUGGAAUUCCAUGUGUAGCGGUGAAAUGCGCAGAGAUAUGGAGGAACACCAGUGGCGAAGGCGACUUUCUGGUCUGUAACUGACGCUGAUGUGCGAAAGCGUGGGGAUCAAACAGGAUUAGAUACCCUGGUAGUCCACGCCGUAAACGAUGAGUGCUAAGUGUUAGGGGGUUUCCGCCCCUUAGUGCUGCAGCUAACGCAUUAAGCACUCCGCCUGGGGAGUACGACCGCAAGGUUGAAACUCAAAGGAAUUGACGGGGACCCGCACAAGCGGUGGAGCAUGUGGUUUAAUUCGAAGCAACGCGAAGAACCUUACCAAAUCUUGACAUCCUUUGACAACUCUAGAGAUAGAGCCUUCCCCUUCGGGGGACAAAGUGACAGGUGGUGCAUGGUUGUCGUCAGCUCGUGUCGUGAGAUGUUGGGUUAAGUCCCGCAACGAGCGCAACCCUUAAGCUUAGUUGCCAUCAUUAAGUUGGGCACUCUAAGUUGACUGCCGGUGACAAACCGGAGGAAGGUGGGGAUGACGUCAAAUCAUCAUG